This 676-nucleotide long non-coding RNA is filed under the name Ananas comosus (pineapple). RNAcentral's name for it is "long non-coding RNA (ACOM_LNC037833)". The record is from RNAcentral. Lineage: Eukaryota; Viridiplantae; Streptophyta; Magnoliopsida; Poales; Bromeliaceae.
UGAGAGUUGGACUUGAACAUUAGUAAACAAGGGUGACAAUGACAAUAGAGACAUGAUUGGCAUCAAGAAAGUGAUUGUUAAACAUAGUUUAACCAUAUUGACAUUGGUCCAAGUUGACAUAGAGAGUUGCAUGAUUAAAUAGGUAGAGACCUAUCAUGACAUUGGCAUUGUGACGAGUGGCUAUGAAUCCUCAAGUUGAGGAUUGGAUCGAUACUCACGUUACGUCUUGGCUUGAGGGAGGUAGCUCCCCCUCGGGCGGUGCGCUCCAGAGUUGGUCACCACUGGGCGUGGUAAAGUCCCCCUAGAAGACGGUCCCUAGGGAGGUUCGAGUCCCCCGUUAUUAAGGGAUUUUGGGUUGUGAGUUAUUGGGGUUAACAUGGUUAACCGGUAAGAUUGGGUUAUAGCCAAAUGAGUUUACAACAAGUAUGCAUUAUGAGUUAUGGAUUUGGUAUCCUAGUCGAGAGGAUCUAGGGCUGAGGUGUAUGUGAGACGUCUCCAUUUUGAAAUCUUUGGACAUAACCAUAAUUCCGUUUGACUCUGUUCCAAGCAUGCAAAUAGAGUUCACGACACGGUUCCAAUCGCGAAGUGAGUCGAACCCGGCCUGCAAAUAUUCCACUCCCUCAGUUCUUGCUUCCAUUCCUAGCACAGACGCGAUCGUAUCAGGAGUGAAUGAUAA